AUUGAACGCUGGCGGCAUGCCUUACACAUGCAAGUCGAACGGCAGCGGGGACUUCGGUCCGCCGGCGAGUGGCGAACGGGUGAGUAAUGCAUCGGAACGUGCCAUUGAGUGGGGGAUAACGUAGCGAAAGUUACGCUAAUACCGCAUAUUCUGUGAGCAGGAAAGCAGGGGAUCGCAAGACCUUGCGCUCUUUGAGCGGCCGAUGUCAGAUUAGCUAGUUGGUGGGGUAAAGGCCUACCAAGGCGACGAUCUGUAGCGGGUCUGAGAGGAUGAUCCGCCACACUGGGACUGAGACACGGCCCAGACUCCUACGGGAGGCAGCAGUGGGGAAUUUUGGACAAUGGGCGAAAGCCUGAUCCAGCCAUGCCGCGUGAGUGAAGAAGGCCUUCGGGUUGUAAAGCUCUUUCGGUCGGGAAGAAAUCGCACAGGCUAAUACCUUGUGUGGAUGACGGUACCGGACUAAGUAGCACCGGCUAACUACGUGCCAGCAGCCGCGGUAA
RNAcentral lists this ribosomal RNA (500 nucleotides) under uncultured bacterium. Its description in RNAcentral is "bacterial SSU rRNA". It matches the Rfam family "Bacterial small subunit ribosomal RNA", at positions 30 to 523 of the family's 1533-position model. The record is from RNAcentral.